RNAcentral lists this microRNA (22 nucleotides) under Bos taurus (domestic cattle). RNAcentral's name for it is "bta-miR-2285bw". Lineage: Eukaryota; Metazoa; Chordata; Mammalia; Artiodactyla; Bovidae. The record is from miRBase by way of RNAcentral.
AGAAAAACCGAAAUGAACUUUU